AGCGCUGAAGGUUGGUACUUGUACCGACUGGAUGAGCAGCGAACGGGUGAGUAACGCGUGGGGAAUCUGCCUUUGAGCGGGGGACAACAUUUGGAAACGAAUGCUAAUACCGCAUAAAAACUUUAAACACAAGUUUUAAGUUUGAAAGAUGCAAUUGCAUCACUCAAAGAUGAUCCCGCGUUGUAUUAGCUAGUUGGUGAGGUAAAGGCUCACCAAGGCGAUGAUACAUAGCCGACCUGAGAGGGUGAUCGGCCACAUUGGGACUGAGACACGGCCCAAACUCCUACGGGAGGCAGCAGUAGGGAAUCUUCGGCAAUGGACGAAAGUCUGACCGAGCAACGCCGCGUGAGUGAAGAAGGUUUUCGGAUCGUAAAACUCUGUUGGUAGAGAAGAACGUUGGUGAGAGUGGAAAGCUCAUCAAGUGACGGUAACUACCCAGAAAGGGACGGCUAACUACGUGCCAGCAGCCGCGGUAAUACGUAGGUCCCGAGCGUUGUCCGGAUUUAUUGGGCGUAAAGCGAGCGCAGGUGGUUUAUUAAGUCUGGUGUAAAAGGCAGUGGCUCAACCAUUGUAUGCAUUGGAAACUGGUAGACUUGAGUGCAGGAGAGGAGAGUGGAAUUCCAUGUGUAGCGGUGAAAUGCGUAGAUAUAUGGAGGAACACCGGUGGCGGAAGCGGCUCUCUGGCCUGUAACUGACACUGAGGCUCGAAAGCGUGGGGAGCAAACAGGAUU
Molecule: ribosomal RNA, 731 nt
Filed under: Lactococcus sp. HXF0046
Lineage: Bacteria; Bacillati; Bacillota; Bacilli; Lactobacillales; Streptococcaceae
Description: bacterial SSU rRNA
Rfam family: Bacterial small subunit ribosomal RNA
Source: RNAcentral